Molecule: long non-coding RNA, 3144 nt
Organism: Sapajus apella (tufted capuchin)
Lineage: Eukaryota; Metazoa; Chordata; Mammalia; Primates; Cebidae
Exons: 2
Source: RefSeq, a predicted model, not a curated record
UGAGAUCACACCACUGCAAUUCCAGCCUGACUUGGUCUCAAAAAAAAAAAAAAAGCUAGAAGGGAAUAAUUGAGAUGUUCCUAGCAUAUAGAAAACAUAAAUACUUCAAGUGAUAGACAUCCCAAUUACCCUGAUUUGAUUAUAUGGAUGUAUCAGAUUAUCACAUGUACUACAAAACUAUGUACAGAUAUUAUGUAUUGACAAAAAGUAAAUUAAUUUUUUUAAUAAAAGAAUAAUUUGGAUUAAAAGAAACACAUUUCAGGUUCUGAGAACUGGAGAAGAAAGCUGUUUUGUAAAGGGAUGAUAGUGAAUAAGUUAAAAGUUAAGCAUAUCGCUUUGGGUUUGACAUAAUCUUUUUAAAAGGAAAAUGUAUUUCUUAAAUGAUUAAAAACAGAAAACACAUUUACUUUUUUAAAAAAGAUGUUGAAUGACAGUCAACUGGUAAGAUUUCUUUCUGCUUAGACUCCUCUAGUUUUUAUUUUAGGAUGUCUUUGCUUUUACAAAUUCCUUUCAUCUUCCUGAUAAAAGGCACUGAAUAACAAAAUAACACUUACUUAGAAAUAUUAGAAAGAUUUGGUGUGCGUGCACAUGCGCGCGCGCGCGCGCGUGUGUGUGUGUGUGUUACUUUAGAGGUUACAAAAAUAUGAAACAAACCGAUGCCCUAUAUUUGUCUUUUCAGAGUAUUGUAGGAUUCAAUAGUGUCCUGGCAUUAGUGAAAUCAUUUGUUGGUAAAAGCCCAAACUCAGGAUGUCUUCAUUUUUCCUGCAGUUCUCUACAAUGUGUGCAAAAUUGAGCCCAAGAUGGAAAGGCCUCCUGUCUCUCUGUGUCAGUCAAGGGGUGAUUAUCUUGUAGAGGGACAGCCCAGGCCCUCUCACCUCUGAGAGCUGAGUAUUUUUUUAUCUUUGUCCAACUUGGACAACUGUGAAGAUCUGACCAGCCUUCCAUUAUUAUGUUUAUAGUCAUCAACAAAACUCUGUCCUCACUGACACUGCCAUCUCCCUCACACAAACCCAGUGUUUUCUAGUGAUCAUUGAGAACAAUACAUGCAUGUCUUAGCCUGUUUUGUGCUCCAGUAACAGUAUUCCACAGAGAGAUUUAUUGGCUCAUGAUUCUGGAGGGUGGGAAGUUCAAGAUCAAGGGGUUGGCAUCUGGUGAGGACCUUUGUAUUAUGUCAUCCAAUGAUGGAAGGAGCAAGUGAGCCCAAGAAAGCUCAAGAUGGGGGCCAAACUCAAUUUUAUAACAAACCCAAUCCGAGAUAACAUUAAGCCACUCAGGAGAGAGAGCCCUCCUGAAAACAGCUCCCACUACGCUCCAUCACCAAACACUAUUGGCAUUGGGAGUUACAUUUCCAACAUAUGAACCAUGACCUCUGUUAAUGUAUAGAGCACAGGGAUUCUAAUUCUGGAAGAUUCUUCACUCUCCAGACAUUAUUGAACUUGAAUCCUGAAGAUUGCUAGGGGUACGUGACACAAGGACCUAAAAAUUAUAAGAUUUGAAUUAUUAAUUACAAUGAUAAAAAUUAUGACCAUCAGUUAAGUGCCUACUAGAUGUCAGGUCAUAGAGGUAUAGGUAUAUAAUUUUUAAUCCUAAAGCUUAUAAGGAGGGAAUUUUUUUUUCAGGCAAGAAAACUUAGGCUGCAUGAAAGUAAUAACUUGCCCAAGCAUGCACGACUAGAAGAUAGAUGAACUGGGAUUCAGUCCUGAGUUUGUCUGACUACAGCAUGGCCUCUUUCCAAAGAAAACUCUUAAGCAGAAGCUGAAAUAUGGCAGGACAUUUCCUCUGUGCUAUGGAGACCUUUUGUUAAACAGUGGGGGUGUGGACCAUUCUCUCCCUACCUGGUACACCUACAUUUUUCUUAAAAGAAACGUGACCAAGUGAAUGGCUGAUUAUUUAAAAAUUGGGUCCUUUUCUGUAUGACAAAGUGAGGUGGAAAGAAAGAGCAGACUGGCCAAUAUAUCAAAGGAUUUUCUGACACUCCCCAAAAGCAGAAGACAGGCUGUCCCUGUUUCCUCUGCUCACUGAAGCCAGCCUUGAUUCUCUCUGUCCACUGUCUGACAUUAUCACUGUUCACACACAUUAGCCUCAAAGGCUGUCCUGCAUAACAGAGCACCUCCCCUCUUACUGCCUAGAGAAAUUAUUUUUCUCUUAUUAAGCAAAGGAAACUCCAUGAUCUAAAAAGGCCAUUUUUCAUCUGGAUCAUCAAGCAGUGGCUCUGAAGGUGUGUUUAAGUCCACUCUCAGGUGUGCUUGCCAAGCACACCAUCUAGGUUCUGGCAGAGCACGGCGUCAUUCAAGUGCAUAAUUCACAGGACUCCAGCUGCCAGCCAGUGGGGCCUGGAGAACCAGGCAGGAAGCACAGUUGAUAUAACGAGCAUAGUUAACCCUUCAGAAGCAUGAGAUACAGCAACAUUUUCAAAAGUCUUCUACGUGUCAGAUUUUUGUGCUUGCCCAGAGCAUGAAAGCUCAGAACUUUAAGGAUGUCAGUAAAUGUACAUUGCUUCUCAUCACAUUUGGCAUAAAAGUUUAUGAGGCCUCAGUGGUUUGGCCCGUGCCUAUUCUUCCUGACCCGUGCUCCAUCACUCAGCUCUCAUUCCCUCCACUCUAGUCUCAGCAGUUUUCUUACCCCCAUUCACCCUCCCCGCACCCCCCUGAAUAACACUGCCAUCAGUCUCUAGCAUGUAUUCUGCUGUAUCUUCCCUCACUGCAUUGACCACUCAUUGUUUAACAUUGUCUGCACCACCAGAAGGCUAACUCUGUGAGGAUGGGGAAUUCGUUUUGUUCCCUGACAUAACGGAAUACCUAAUAGUUAUCCAAUAAAUUAAAAAUCCAUGAUGAAUGAAUGAAUUAAGUGUAGAUCUGGAAAACAUGGUUGUAUUCAAUCAGGAAGUCCAUCAAGUUUUCUGGUAUUUAACUUGUCCCGGGUUUGCUGUGCCAGGGUCUGCACAGCCCACAGGCAUCCUAGGUUGCCAGGACCCUUCCAGGGAAAAGGGAUCUUCUCUUAGAUAAACAUGAGCUCCUCUUCCAGUCUGGGUCAUCAUCUGGUUUCCAUGGCAACCCAUAUAAAGUGCCUCUGACCUAGAGCAAUUUAUGGGACAUAAAAUAUUCCACACUCAUAAAACAGGAAACAAACAAAAAAACAACAUAA